Molecule: ribosomal RNA, 896 nt
Filed under: uncultured Microbacteriaceae bacterium
Lineage: Bacteria; Bacillati; Actinomycetota; Actinomycetes; Micrococcales; Microbacteriaceae
Description: bacterial SSU rRNA
Rfam family: Bacterial small subunit ribosomal RNA
Source: RNAcentral
CAUGGUGAGGGGUGGGAAAGAAUUUCGGUCAAGGAUGGACUCGCGGCCUAUCAGCUAGUUGGUGAGGUAAUGGCCCACCCAAGGCGACGACGGGUAGCCGGCNUGAGAGGGUGACCGGCCACACUGGGACUGAGACACGGCCCAGACUCCUACGGGAGGCAGCAGUGGGGAAUAUUGCACAAUGGGCGCAAGCCUGAUGCAGCAACGCCGCGUGAGGGACGACGGCCUUCGGGUUGUAAACCUCUUUUAGUAGGGAAGAAGCGAAAGUGACGGUACCUGCAGAAAAAGCACCGGCUAACUACGUGCCAGCAGCCGCGGUAAUACGUAGGGUGCAAGCGUUAUCCGGAAUUAUUGGGCGUAAAGAGCUCGUAGGCGGUUUGUCGCGUCUGCUGUGAAAACUGGAGGCUCAACCUCCAGCCUGCAGUGGGUACGGGCAGACUAGAGUGCGGUAGGGGAGAUUGGAAUUCCUGGUGUAGCGGUGGAAUGCGCAGAUAUCAGGAGGAACACCGAUGGCGAAGGCAGAUCUCUGGGCCGUAACUGACGCUGAGGAGCGAAAGCAUGGGGAGCGAACAGGAUUAGAUACCCUGGUAGUCCAUGCCGUAAACGUUGGGAACUAGAUGUAGGGGCCAUUCCACGGUUUCUGUGUCGCAGCUAACGCAUUAAGUUCCCCGCCUGGGGAGUACGGCCGCAAGGCUAAAACUCAAAGGAAUUGACGGGGGCCCGCACAAGCGGCGGAGCAUGCGGAUUAAUUCGAUGCAACGCGAAGAACCUUACCAAGGCUUGACAUAUACCGGAAAAGUUCAGAAAUGUUCUCCCCGCAAGGUCGGUAUACAGGUGGUGCAUGGUUGUCGUCAGCUCGUGUCGUGAGAUGUUGGGGUAAGUCCCGCAACGAGAAG